RNAcentral lists this ribosomal RNA (355 nucleotides) under uncultured bacterium. Its description in RNAcentral is "bacterial SSU rRNA". It matches the Rfam family "Bacterial small subunit ribosomal RNA", at positions 30 to 410 of the family's 1533-position model. The record is from RNAcentral.
CCUGAACGCUGGCGGCAGGCUUAACACAUGCAAGUCGAGCGGGCGUAGCAAUACGUCAGCGGCAGACGGGUGAGUAACGCGUGGGAACAUACCUCUUGGUUCGGAACAACACAGGGAAACUUGUGCUAAUACCGGAUAAGCCCUUACGGGAAAGAUUUAUCGCCGAAAGAUUGGCCCGCGUCUGAUUAGCUAGUUGGUGAGGUAACGGCUCACCAAGGCGACGAUCAGUAGCUGGUCUGAGAGGAUGAUCAGCCACAUUGGGACUGAGACACGGCCAAACUCCUACGGGAGGCAGCAGUGGGAAUAUUGGGGCAAUGGGCGCAAGGCCUGAUCCAGCCAUGCCGCGUGAGUGAUG